AGUGAACGCUGGCGGUAGGCCUAACACAUGCAAGUCGAACGGCAGCACAGUAAGAGCUUGCUCUUACGGGUGGCGAGUGGCGGACGGGUGAGGAAUACAUCGGAAUCUACUUUUUCGUGGGGGAUAACGUAGGGAAACUUACGCUAAUACCGCAUACGACCUACGGGUGAAAGCAGGGGAUCUUCGGACCUUGCGCGAUUGAAUGAGCCGAUGUCGGAUUAGCUAGUUGGCGGGGUAAAGGCCCACCAAGGCGACGAUCCGUAGCUGGUCUGAGAGGAUGAUCAGCCACACUGGAACUGAGACACGGUCCAGACUCCUACGGGAGGCAGCAGUGGGGAAUAUUGGACAAUGGGCGCAAGCCUGAUCCAGCCAUACCGCGUGGGUGAAGAAGGCCUUCGGGUUGUAAAGCCCUUUUGUUGGGAAAGAAAAGCAGCAGGUUAAUACCCCGCGGUUCUGACGGUACCCAAAGAGUAAGCACCGGCUAACUUCGUG
This 492-nucleotide ribosomal RNA is filed under the name uncultured bacterium. Its description in RNAcentral is "partial 16S ribosomal RNA". It matches the Rfam family "Bacterial small subunit ribosomal RNA", at positions 29 to 507 of the family's 1533-position model. The record is from RNAcentral.